AGCAGCCGCGGUAAUUCCAGCUCCAAUAGCGUAUAUUAAAGUUGUUGCAGUUAAAAAGCUCGUAGUUGAAUUUCGGGAUCAAUAUGUUGGUCGUGCCUCGGUACGUACUAGCAUAUUGGUUUCUCCUUUCUGAAGAACCAUGAUGUCAUUCAUUUGGUGUCGUGGGGAAUCAGGACUGUUACUUUGAAAAAUUAGAGUGUUUAAAGCAGGCUCACGCUUGAAUACAUUAGCAUGGAAUAAUGAAAUAGGACGUUUGAUUCUAUUUUGUUGGUUUCUAGGAUCGACGUAAUGAUUAAUAGGGAUAGUUGGGGGCAUUGGUAUUCAAUUGUCAGAGGUGAAAUUCUUGGAUUUAUUGAAGACUAACUACUGCG
This 371-nucleotide ribosomal RNA is filed under the name uncultured Glomus. RNAcentral describes it as "SSU rRNA". It matches the Rfam family "Eukaryotic small subunit ribosomal RNA", at positions 569 to 947 of the family's 1831-position model. The record is from RNAcentral. Lineage: Eukaryota; Fungi; Glomeromycota; Glomeromycetes; Glomerales; Glomeraceae.